AUGUCAAAAUUUCAAAAAGUCAAAACAUCAAAGUGUCAAAAUCUCAAAAUCUCAAAAUGCCAAAAUGUCAAAAUCUCAAAAUUUCAAAACCCCCCCGCAGCUCGGACCGCCAAGGCUCCCUCCGUCUCCGUCUUCCCGCCGCCGGCCGAGCAGCUGGCGACGCAGGAGCGCGCCACCCUCACCUGCCUGAUCCAGGGCUUCGACCCCCCUGACCUCUUCGUCCGCUGGCUCCGCGACGGCGAACCCCUCCCUCCGUCCGCCUCCGUCACCUUCCCCCCGCUGCCGGACGCUUCGGGUUCCGCCUUCGUCACCUACAGCUCGUUAGCGGUCUCCAGCCAGGAGUGGGGGACCGGGAGCGUCUUCACCUGCGUCGUGGGGCACGAGCGCCUCCCGCUGCAGCUGCUCCAAAAAUCCCUGGACAAGGCUUCGGGUAGAGCCGCCAACGUCAGCGUCUCCCUCGUCCUGGCCGACGCCGCCGGGACCUGCUACUGA
Pterocles gutturalis (yellow-throated sandgrouse) is the source of this 492-nucleotide non-coding RNA. The record is from the annotation of a RefSeq genome assembly. Lineage: Eukaryota; Metazoa; Chordata; Aves; Pterocliformes; Pteroclidae.